AAUACAAGGGGAGCUCGUGCAGGCGGGCUGAGAACGGGGGGAGAUGCCCCGGACCCAUAACCUGAUUUGGAUAAUGCCAACGUAGGGAAAUAGACAG
RNAcentral lists this non-coding RNA (97 nucleotides) under bovine gut metagenome. The record is from RNAcentral.